This 1029-nucleotide long non-coding RNA is filed under the name Homo sapiens (human). RNAcentral describes it as "HSALNT0376086". Lineage: Eukaryota; Metazoa; Chordata; Mammalia; Primates; Hominidae. The record is from RNAcentral.
AGCUUCCGGAGCAGCUGGGACUGCUGGCGCCCGCCACUACGCUCGGCUAAUUUUUUUGUGUUUUUAGUAGAGACGGGCUUUCACCGUGUUGGCCUAGCGGUUCUCCAACUCCUGACCUCAUGAUCCCCCCGCCUCAGCCUCCCAAAGUGCUGGGAUUACAAGCGUGAGCCACCGCGACCCGCCAACACUCUUGACAACAGUGCUGUGCUAAGAACUUGGGGGACUUCAAAAAGUUCACCAGUUCCUGUGUCCAUGGGUGAAAAGAUUUUCUACAUCUUUCCUUGACUAGAAACAGAAGUCCUGAAACAAGAAUAUAACGUCAGGAGGCCAGAGGCUUUGUCCUGCCUAAUGUGUUAUUUCCACACUGAAUAAAAGCACCUGAGUCCUGGUAAGUCUAAUUUGCUAGGUGUGGCAAUAUGACCAGUGAAAAACAACAAGGGCAGCAUUUCCUGCAGUUCGGUGGCACAGUAUGGUUCAAAGAGGUAUAAAAGGAAGUCACAGGCAUUUUAAAAAGGUUGUACAUCUAGCAAUACCUAACAAAAUAGGAAAUCAACUUGAUAAGGACAUUUUCUCCUAAAACUGUUAGAUUUUAUCAUCUGUAUAACAUACAUUUUUUCAUCUCUAUAGUAUGAAAACAUCCAUAUGGAUAUGCAUCAUUGCUUUUCAGGUGUCAAAAUUUGUGGAUAAAUAUAUAGUUUAUAAGAAGCAAAUAAGUGGCAAAUAACAAACUGUGACUAUUAAAGUAAUAUGAAAUUCAAAUUCAAAUAAAAAUACAUGUGUGACUAAUAAAUAAAGCUGAUAGCUCAGGGUUCAAAGUAAGAAAGAACUAGUUAUAUUAAUGAAGUCAUUUAACUUAGCUAUAAAACAAUAAAAAGCAAGAACUUAUUGAAAAUUAUAACUCUGUUUAAUUUCUUGAUAAAUCAGUCAACAUCGUUUCUACUGAAAUUAUCUCUAUUCCCAACACAUUAUUGUUUCCAGUUCACAUUAUGCUCAGGAAGGAUGGAUUUUCAUCACAUAGAAUGGUUUAAU